UAUUUUUUAUUCGUUUACUUGAUUCUGUCUGUACUGAGAAAAUUUACAGUUGUGUUACUAAUUAUAACUUUGCGGAUUGAGUAAAAAUUCUAACGACUAACAGUGCACAAAUUUCUUGCUCAGCUUCUUGUCAUUAUCAAUUAUUCUAAAAACUUCAGUUAUUUUAACAUUUAAGUUCAUGUUGUUUUUUUAAUAUCUGUCAUUAAAAUUAUUUCUCAAACACAAUUACUGAUCUUUUAGAGUAUUAAUCAACAUAUUUAUUUCAUUACAUUAUAGAUUCCACAGGAUGAUUGAAAAAAUGGAAUAGACAAGAUUGAAUUACCACCAAAGUCUGGUUUUUACAUGGCUCACGGUGUUUUUCUUAAUAUUCAACUAGAGACUGGAAACGAUUGGACUAAAAUCAUGUCGGAAACUAUCAAUGAAGUUUACGGAUCUAUAAUAAAAAACUUCUCAGCUCGUGGACGAUAUUCAACUAGCCAGCCAAAAAUUCAUGCCAAGUUAUUUAAUAACUUGUGAUUAAAUUAAAUAAAAAAUUUAUAUUGUGUUAGAUGCGAGUAGUGUAUUAACAGUCUUGUCGUACUAAAUAAAUUUCUUUUGAAAUUCACUAGUAGCAAGGUUUCUUGUACAUGCUAUGUCUUACAAAUUGGAGUAUAGACUAUGAACUGCUUUUACGCCAUAUUAUUUUACCUAAAUAAAUUUAUGGAUAGACGCUUGCAAAUUC
Molecule: long non-coding RNA, 721 nt
Organism: Cotesia glomerata
Lineage: Eukaryota; Metazoa; Arthropoda; Insecta; Hymenoptera; Braconidae
Exons: 2
Source: RefSeq, a predicted model, not a curated record